GAGGGUAUAGCUCAGUGGUAGAGCACAUGCUUAAUAAGCAUGAGGUCCUAGGUUCAAUCUCCAGUAAUUCCA
Non-coding RNA from Vicugna pacos (alpaca), 72 nucleotides. The record is from the annotation of a RefSeq genome assembly. NCBI's taxonomy places the organism in Eukaryota, Metazoa, Chordata, Mammalia, Artiodactyla, Camelidae.